Molecule: ribosomal RNA, 854 nt
Filed under: uncultured bacterium
Lineage: Bacteria
Description: bacterial SSU rRNA
Rfam family: Bacterial small subunit ribosomal RNA
Source: RNAcentral
UUAAAGGCUGUGGNUUAACCAUAGUACGCUUUGGAAACUGUUUAACUUGAGUGCAGAAGGGGAGAGUGGAAUUCCAUGUGUAGCGGUGAAAUGCGUAGAUAUAUGGAGGAACACCGGUGGCGAAAGCGGCUCUCUGGUCUGUAACUGACGCUGAGGCUCGAAAGCGUGGGGAGCGAACAGGAUUAGAUACCCUGGUAGUNCACGCCGUAAACGAUGAGUGCUAGGUGUUAGGCCCUUUCCGGGGCUUAGUGCCGCAGCUAACGCAUUAAGCACUCCGCCUGGGGAGUACGACCGCAAGGUUGAAACUCAAAGGAAUUGACGGGGGCCCGCACAAGCGGUGGAGCAUGUGGUUUAAUUCGAAGCAACGCGAAGAACCUUACCAGGUCUUGACAUCCCGAUGCCCGCUCUAGAGAUAGAGUUUUACUUCGGUACAUCGGUGACAGGUGGUGCAUGGUUGUCGUCAGCUCGUGUCGUGAGAUGUUGGGUUAAGUCCCGCAACGAGCACAACCCUUAUUGUUAGUUGCCAUCAUUCAGUUGGGCACUCUAGCGAGACUGCCGGUAAUAAACCGGAGGGAGGUGGGGAUGACGUCAAAUCAUCAUGACCCUUAUGACCUGGGCUACACACGUGCUACAAUGGCUGGUACAACGAGUCGCAAGUCGGUGACGGCAAGCUAAUCUCUUAAAGCCAGUCUCAGUUCGGAUUGUAGGCUGCAACUCGCCUACAUGAAGUCGGAAUCGCUAGUAAUCGCGGAUCAGCACGCCGCGGUGAAUACGUUCCCGGGCCUUGUACACACCGCCCGUCACACCACGAGAGUUUGUAACACCCGAAGUCGGUGAGGUAACCUUUUAGGAGC